Cicer arietinum (chickpea) is the source of this 2067-nucleotide long non-coding RNA. RefSeq lists it as uncharacterized. The record is from RefSeq and is a predicted model, not a curated record. NCBI's taxonomy places the organism in Eukaryota, Viridiplantae, Streptophyta, Magnoliopsida, Fabales, Fabaceae.
AUCUAAUUCUUCUUAGUAUAUUUUUCACUUAUCACUUUAUCAUAUUUGAUAAUUUUUACAUCAUUUAUAACAGAAUAUGCAUUAAAUGAGCCAUCAUUAAAAUAUCACCGCAAUGAAAUCAAGAUGGCAAAUCCAGAGGCUUUAAGAUGGAUCGAUAAUAUCCCCCUAAAAUAAUGGAUUAUGGCUUAUUCUCAAGGUCGACGAUGGGGACACAUGACAACAAAGGGUACACGCAAUCUCCCAAUCACUGCUUUGGUACAAUCAACAGACUAUAGAUUGAGAGUUUUAUAUGCAUAAAGGGGACAACAACAUCAAAUUAGUUUGCAGUUUAUCACAAUAAAUGUUAAGCAACUCAUUCUAGCUUCGUUUGAAAAUUCAUUGAAUCUUUUAGAGCAAAAUAAUUAUUUAUUGUAUGUUUUGAUAGAAUUAGUAAAACAACUGUAGGCUCUGUCUGAUUAUGAAUUUCUCAAACUAAGUGAGAAAGGUGAAGCAUUUGACUAUUCGAUAUGGUACAACUUUUCCCCGCAAGUCGACAAAUAUGCUAUGGGAAUAAAGGAAAAUAAGGUAUUAUCGGUGACUUGCCCCAUAUUUUGCCUAAAUCAAAAGAUAACAUCAUGGUUUUUGGGUUGAACGGUGAGAUAAUUUAUACGAAGCUGAUAUAAUUUAUAUGAAGCCAACUUGGAACAUAGCUCUAUUGGUUGUCAGAUAUGUCAAACACCGCAUGUACACCGAAUUUGCAGAGGAUAGAUCAAUUUCUCCGUGUCAAGCACUGUUGUAGGUCAUUCUGCAGACAUGGUACGGUCUUCGUGUCAGACACUGUUAUAGGUGUUAGUUUGAACACAACACAGUGAUCGCAUUAUGGAUCAUAUUUGGAAUAAGGCUUCUAAUAUGCAAUGCUAAAUAAUAGGUAUAAUUAUUGGAGCAUUUGACGGGGCCAAAUUGCAAUACACUUAGCAUUGUUGAAAGAAUGUAUAAAAGAAUUUGUUUUUGUCAACCACUCAAUAUUCUUCAGAAAUUAAUUAGAGAGGGAAACAACCUCUAGGAGAAGGCUUUGACUCUAAGGAUGCGAGGGGAUUCAUAAGUCAAAAGGAAGGGACAUACAAUGAACUCCACCUAACUAGAAACAUAUAACAUCUCUAACUUUAUUCUUUAUUUAUGAUUUGUCUGAUUAUGAAUUUCUAAAACUAAGUGAGAAGGUGAAGCCUUUAACAUGGGUCGUAAGGCUGAUGGAUUCAGGAAAUCGGAUUACUCGAUGUGCUACAACUUUUGCCCCGCAAGUUGACAAAUAUGCUAUGUGAAUAAAGAGAAUGAGGUAUUAUUGAUUACUUGUGCCCAUAUUUUGCCUAAAUCAAAAGAUAACAUUAUGGUUAGAAGAAUCGAUGAUAAAGAUUUUGGGUCGAACGCUGAUAUAAUUUAUAUGAAGUCAACUUGGGACAUAGCUCUUUUGAUUGUCAGAGAUGUCAAACACCAUAUGUACACCGAAUUUGCAGAGAAUGAUCGAUUUCUCCGUGUCAGACACCGUUGGUCUGUAUUCGUUGGACGUGCUGCAUACCAAUGUUUGGACAGCUUUGUUCCUUUUAGUCGUCGCGAGACUUGUAGAGACUAUCAACGUUUUAGUUUGAACACAACCCCAACAAAGUUUAGUUUCCAGAACUUCACCCUUCUAUCCCUAUUAUAUACAUUGUACUAGCUCGUUUAAAUAGCGAUGUUCUGGAGGACAGAUCUUUAAUAUCCAAGGCCAAACAGUAGUUAUGAUUAUUGGAGCAUUUGACGGGGGCCAAAUUGCUAUACAGUUAACAUUGUUCAAUUAAAAAAGAAUUUGUUUUGUCAACCACUCAAGACUCUUCAGAAAUUAACGAGAGGGAAACAACCUUUAGGAGAAGGCUUUGACUCUAAGGAUGCGAGGGGAUUCAAAAGGAAGGGACCAUCUAAGUGAUAAAAUGAUCUCCUCCUUACUGGAAGCAUAUAACAUCUCUAACUUUACUCUUUAUUUAUGUAUGUAUUUGGCUUUUGAUUGUUAUAUCUUAAAACAUCUCUUUAUUUAUGUAUGUAUUUAACUUUUGAUGG